This 271-nucleotide long non-coding RNA is filed under the name Ananas comosus (pineapple). RNAcentral describes it as "long non-coding RNA (ACOM_LNC016242)". Lineage: Eukaryota; Viridiplantae; Streptophyta; Magnoliopsida; Poales; Bromeliaceae. The record is from RNAcentral.
UGAAAUUGUGAUUGGUUGGGAGGAAAGCAUAUUUGAGGAGCUUACGCCGCUUUAGAGAGGAAAAAAAUUCUCUCAUUGAGUAGCAUCCAAUCUGCUAUCAUGUCAGUUUUGUCAUUAUCUAUGAAAUAUAAUUUUUCUUCUCUAUUGGUUAUUUUCUUGGAUUUUAAUAUUGAAAAGUAUCUAGCAAAUCCUUAGAUGAUGGCCAAAUUAACAUGCACAGCGAAUCGGAGGCUUUAUAAUAAGAUGUUGUUUGGGAGCUCUUCACUAAAGU